UGGGGAAUAUUGGACAAUGGGCGCAAGUCUGAUCCAGCCAUGCCGCGUGAGUGAUGAAGGCCCUAGGGUUGUAAAGCUCUUUCACCGGUGAAGAUAAUGACGGUAACCGGAGAAGAAGCCCCGGCUAACUUCGUGCCAGCAGCCGCGGUAAUACGAAGGGGGCUAGCGUUGUUCGGAUUUACUGGGCGUAAAGCGCACGUAGGCGGACUAUUAAGUCAGGGGUGAAAUCCCGGGGCUCAACCCCGGAACUGCCUUUGAUACUGGUAGUCUUGAGUUCGAGAGAGGUGAGUGGAAUUCCGAGUGUAGAGGUGAAAUUCGUAGAUAUUCGGAGGAACACCAGUGGCGAAGGCGGCUCACUGGCUCGAUACUGACGCUGAGGUGCGAAAGCGUGGGGAGCAAACAGG
RNAcentral lists this ribosomal RNA (404 nucleotides) under Actinomycetes bacterium. Its description in RNAcentral is "Actinobacteria bacterium partial 16S ribosomal RNA". It matches the Rfam family "Bacterial small subunit ribosomal RNA", at positions 355 to 776 of the family's 1533-position model. Lineage: Bacteria; Bacillati; Actinomycetota; Actinomycetes. The record is from RNAcentral.